CCUCUCGGGGUUACAGCCUUGCUGAAUUAUUCACCCUUGUCUUUUGCGUACUUCUUGUUUCCUUGGUGGGUUCGCCCACCACUAGGACAAACAUAAACCUUUUGUAAUUGCAAUCAGCGUCAGUAACAAAUUAAUAAUUACAACUUUCAACAACGGAUCUCUUGGUUCUGGCAUCGAUGAAGAACGCAGCGAAAUGCGAUAAGUAGUGUGAAUUGCAGAAUUCAGUGAAUCAUCGAAUCUUUGAACGCACAUUGCGCCCUUUGGUAUUCCAAAGGGCAUGCCUGUUCGAGCGUCAUUUGUACCCUCAAGCUUUGCUUGGUGUUGGGCGUCUUGUCUCUAGCUUUGCUGGAGACUCGCCUUAAAGUAAUUGGCAGCCGGCCUACUGGUUUCGGAGCGCAGCACAAGUCGCACUCUCUAUCAGCAAAGGUCUAGCAUCCAUUAAGCCUUUUUUUCAACUUUUGACCUCGGAUCAGGUAGGGAUACCCGCUGAACUUAAGCAUAUCAAUA
RNAcentral lists this ribosomal RNA (507 nucleotides) under Alternaria brassicae. Its description in RNAcentral is "eukaryotic LSU rRNA". The stretch from base 142 to 295 matches the Rfam family "5.8S ribosomal RNA". Lineage: Eukaryota; Fungi; Ascomycota; Dothideomycetes; Pleosporales; Pleosporaceae. The record is from RNAcentral.